This 73-nucleotide transfer RNA is filed under the name Ovis aries (sheep). It matches the Rfam family "tRNA". From Rfam's summary of the family: Transfer RNA (tRNA) molecules are approximately 80 nucleotides in length. Their secondary structure includes four short double-helical elements and three loops (D, anti-codon, and T loops). Further hydrogen bonds mediate the characteristic L-shaped molecular structure. tRNAs have two regions of fundamental functional importance: the anti-codon, which is responsible for specific mRNA codon recognition, and the 3' end, to which the tRNAs corresponding amino acid is attached (by aminoacyl-tRNA synthetases). tRNAs cope with the degeneracy of the genetic code in two manners: having more than one tRNA (with a specific anti-codon) for a particular amino acid; and 'wobble' base-pairing, i.e. permitting non-standard base-pairing at the 3rd anti-codon position. The record is from Rfam by way of RNAcentral. Lineage: Eukaryota; Metazoa; Chordata; Mammalia; Artiodactyla; Bovidae.
CCCCUGGUAGUCCAGUGGCUAAGGCUCUGCACUCCCAAUGCAGGGGGCCUGGGUUCAAUCCCUACUCAGGGAA